GCCUUCGUGGUGUAACAGUAGCACACUCGACGCGUAAUCGAGAGGUCCAGGUUCGAAUCCCGGCUAGGGCA
This is a non-coding RNA of Stegodyphus mimosarum, 71 nucleotides long. The record is from Rfam. NCBI's taxonomy places the organism in Eukaryota, Metazoa, Arthropoda, Arachnida, Araneae, Eresidae.